Molecule: non-coding RNA, 378 nt
Organism: Ictalurus punctatus (channel catfish)
Lineage: Eukaryota; Metazoa; Chordata; Actinopteri; Siluriformes; Ictaluridae
Source: the annotation of a RefSeq genome assembly
AUGACUUUGAUCAGCGUCUUCAUCUGCACACUGGCCCUCUGGACUCAAGGAUCCAGAGGUCAGGUGACUGUGACUCAGACUCCUUCAGUCCAAACUGUUGAUCCAGGAAACACAGUCACCUUCAACUGUAGAACCAGUAGCAGUGUGUAUAAUGGUAACGGUCUCGCCUGGUACCUGCAGAAACCUGGAGAAGCUCCUAAACUCCUGAUCUAUGAUGCUACUAGCUUACAGUCAGGAACUCCAGCUCGUUUCAGUGGCAGUGGAUCUAAUACUGACUUCACUCUGACCAUCAGAGGAGUCCAGACUGAAGAUGCAGGAGAUUACUACUGUACGAGUUUCCAUGUGAUCAGUAGUAGCUGGGUGUUCACACAGUGUUAG